UUUCCGUAGGUGAACCUGCGGAAGGAACAUUAAUGAGUUUUGACUGGUUUGUAUCUUGCCAUCCGUGGCCUGCUCAUGUCCUGUGUCUCUACUCCACACCUGUGCACUUCCUGUGGGUAUCAGAUCGUAAAUCGUGCCUCUUUACCUGAAAAAGAUAAUGAUUUCUGUGUCCACGAUACACAUUUACACAAUAAAUUACUAGAAUGUCUAUUACGAUGUAACGCCACCAUAUACAACUAUCAGCAACGGAUCUCCCGGCUCACACAUCGAAUAACAACG
RNAcentral lists this unclassified non-coding RNA (279 nucleotides) under plant metagenome. Its description in RNAcentral is "partial contains small subunit ribosomal RNA, internal transcribed spacer 1, and 5.8S ribosomal RNA". The record is from RNAcentral.